GUUGCCGAGAAAAACACAGAACGUAUAAAUCUUUCGCCUUUUACUAAAGAUUUCCGUGUGUUUAUUUCGUUAAGGCACAUAUGUGUGUUUCUUUGCCUAGUAUUACUAGGU
Molecule: non-coding RNA, 111 nt
Organism: Blastocystis sp.
Lineage: Eukaryota; Bigyra; Opalinata; Blastocystidae
Source: Rfam